CACGUAGGGGGCGAGCGUUGUCCGGAUUUAUUGGGCGUAAAGAGCUCGUAGGCGGUUUCGUAAGUCGGAUGUGAAAACUCCAGGCUCAACUUGGAGACGCCAUUCGAUACUGCGAUGACUUGAGUCCGGUAGGGGAGUGUGGAAUUCCUGGUGUAGCGGUGAAAUGCGUAGAUAUCUGGAGGAACACCGGUGGCGAAGGCGACAUCCUGGACCGGUAUUGACGAUGAGGCGCGAAAGCCAGGGGAGCAAACGGG
This 254-nucleotide ribosomal RNA is filed under the name uncultured bacterium. Its description in RNAcentral is "partial 16S ribosomal RNA". It matches the Rfam family "Bacterial small subunit ribosomal RNA", at positions 524 to 776 of the family's 1533-position model. The record is from RNAcentral.